This 406-nucleotide unclassified non-coding RNA is filed under the name Hevea brasiliensis (rubber tree). Lineage: Eukaryota; Viridiplantae; Streptophyta; Magnoliopsida; Malpighiales; Euphorbiaceae. The record is from RNAcentral.
GGAAAAACUGAGAGCUACUUCUGCCACUUUUUUGACGGUCAAGUUGAUUAUGCUUCUGUAGAACCUGUUUAGGGCUGGCACCUCCAAGAAGAACAUCAAAUAAUGUUGCACAUAAGAGAUCCGUCUGAGGAAAUUUGAAGAGUCUGUCAGAUAUAACUGAGAAAAUGGGCUGUGUCCUUGAACUAACUUUCCUAAGGCCCUCUGGAAGAGAUUUUGAUCUGCCAACAGCAAUACUGAAAAAUUUUGAUCCUUUCUUCUCCAACGGAAGACCAACCAAUAGACGUCCAAGGAACUGCAGACCUAGUAGCCUGAUGGGUUCAAAGUCCCUUUCAAGAAGAUUUACAAAUAUGUGACAGCCACCAAUUAAAUUGACUUGUUCAAGGAAAGAAGCAAGUAGCUGUUUUUG